RNAcentral lists this ribosomal RNA (332 nucleotides) under uncultured Pseudomonadota bacterium. RNAcentral's name for it is "bacterial SSU rRNA". It matches the Rfam family "Bacterial small subunit ribosomal RNA", at positions 28 to 351 of the family's 1533-position model. The record is from RNAcentral. Lineage: Bacteria; Pseudomonadati; Pseudomonadota.
GACAAACGCUGGCGGCGUGCCUAACACAUGCAAGUCGAACGAGAAAGUCGGCUUCGGCCGAUGAGUACAGUGGCGCACGGGUGAGUAACACGUGGGUAAUCUACCUCUCUGAGGGGGAUAACACACCGAAAGGUGUGCUAAUACCGCAUAACACGACAUUAUUUAUUAUGAUGUCGUCAAAGGUGGCGUAAGCUGCCGCUGAGAGAUGAGCCCGCGGACCAUUAGCUAGUUGGUAGGGUAAUGGCCUACCAAGGCGACGAUGGUUAGCUGGUCUGAGAGGAUGUCCAGCCACACUGGAACUGAAACACGGUCCAGACUCCUACGGGUGGCUG